RNAcentral lists this transfer RNA (85 nucleotides) under Vulcanococcus sp. Clear-D1. RNAcentral's name for it is "tRNA-Ser". It matches the Rfam family "tRNA". Rfam says of the family: Transfer RNA (tRNA) molecules are approximately 80 nucleotides in length. The record is from RNAcentral. Lineage: Bacteria; Bacillati; Cyanobacteriota; Cyanophyceae; Synechococcales; Synechococcaceae. RNAcentral also lists the same sequence under 3 other names.
GGAGAGGUGGUCGAGUGGUUGAUGGCUCCGGUCUUGAAAACCGGCGAGGUGAAAGCCUCCGUGGGUUCGAAUCCCACCCUCUCCG